Solanum tuberosum (potato) is the source of this 480-nucleotide long non-coding RNA. RefSeq lists it as uncharacterized. The record is from RefSeq and is a predicted model, not a curated record. The transcript has 2 exons. NCBI's taxonomy places the organism in Eukaryota, Viridiplantae, Streptophyta, Magnoliopsida, Solanales, Solanaceae.
CCCCACCACCAGUGAAGCCAUACCAUCCUACACCAGUAUACAAGUCUCCACCAUCCCCAACUCCCGUUUACAAAUCACCACCACCACCAGUGAAGCCAUACCAUCCUACACCAGUAUACAAGUCUCCACCAUCCCCAACUCCCGUUUACAAAUCACCACCACCACCAGUGAAGCCAUACCAUCCUGCACCAGUGUACAAGUCUUCACCACCCCCAACUCCCAUUUACAAGUCUCCGUCUCCACCACCCCACUAUAUUUACUCAUCUCCCCCUCCUCCCCACCAUUACUAAGAAGUGACUUCAUUAUCUAUGAGGAAAAGUAAAUGUUGAGCUGAAAGGAAUGCAUUUUCCAUUUUAGAUAGGCAAUGAUAAAAGAAGAAAAUUAAAUUAUAGUAAACAAUAAGCCCCACAGAAGGCGAAGUUCUUUUGUAGCUUCAUGUUAUCUAAGUUAGUGAUAUUGUUUUUGUACUCUAUUUUUAUA